Molecule: non-coding RNA, 30 nt
Filed under: Rattus norvegicus (Norway rat)
Lineage: Eukaryota; Metazoa; Chordata; Mammalia; Rodentia; Muridae
Source: RNAcentral
UAGACCUCAUGGGGCCUGUCUGAACCAAAU